CUCCUCUCAGGAUUGCACCUGGGGAGUUUCCUAUACUCUACUAGUCUCGGCUAUGGAAGGGAGAGUCAAGCAGAGGCAUAGCCAUUCCAUUCCUAGCUUGGGCCGGGGCUAGAGAGUGGAAGGCAAUCUGCUUCAAGU
This 138-nucleotide small nucleolar RNA is filed under the name Ornithorhynchus anatinus (platypus). The record is from RNAcentral. Lineage: Eukaryota; Metazoa; Chordata; Mammalia; Monotremata; Ornithorhynchidae.